UAAACUAUAGCUUAUAUAAAGCAAUUAAAUGUUAAUUAAUAGAAACUAGAAUAGUUAGUUUAG
RNAcentral lists this transfer RNA (63 nucleotides) under Pupilla muscorum. Its description in RNAcentral is "tRNA-Asn". Lineage: Eukaryota; Metazoa; Mollusca; Gastropoda; Stylommatophora; Pupillidae. The record is from RNAcentral.